AUACUUGUUUUGGAAUUACAUGUACUAAAAUGGGAACAAUACAGAAAAGAUUAGCAUGGCCCCUGCACAUGGAU
This 74-nucleotide small nuclear RNA is filed under the name Choloepus hoffmanni (Hoffmann's two-fingered sloth). Lineage: Eukaryota; Metazoa; Chordata; Mammalia; Pilosa; Megalonychidae. The record is from RNAcentral.